GGAGGUUCGACUCGAGCGAAGCGAGAGAACGUUGCGUCAGCAACGGCCCGCAGGGCGAGCCACGAAGUGGUGAGUCAUCCUCUAUCACCGACCA
RNAcentral lists this small RNA (94 nucleotides) under Klebsiella pneumoniae. RNAcentral describes it as "partial RtT sRNA". It matches the Rfam family "RtT RNA", at positions 37 to 130 of the family's 130-position model. From Rfam's summary of the family: This family represents a bacterial cis-regulatory element known as RtT RNA. The record is from RNAcentral. Lineage: Bacteria; Pseudomonadati; Pseudomonadota; Gammaproteobacteria; Enterobacterales; Enterobacteriaceae.